GUAUUCUCUUGUCUUUUCUGCACACCAGCCGUUGCGUAUCUUCCACCAACUGGUCGUAACAAACGUUAGAUCACACACUGGCCCAGCGAGAGCGGAGCCACGGUUUGAUCACGUGACGAUAGGUUGCGUCACAGUUGCCCCUCUCACCACUCAACCAACGAACCAACGGACGGAACCGCCAUCUUUUACCCACUGAGAGACCAGAGGAACACGGACACCAGCACCAACGUCCAAAAAUGAUAAGGCAACACAGAACGACGGGCUUGAUCGUAACUGAACAAAGACGUUCGAGACUGGCGAACAAGUUCUUCUCUUCCACUUCGGAAAACUAGCAGUGAGAAGACUGAAGCGUGAAACACGACCGACUCCGACGGCGAGCAGCGACGAACGAGGAUGCGCUCGAGCACGUAGCCUGUGCCGCACUCUCAGUCUAUCCCCACUACCAAGUAUGAUCGGCAUCCGGUGGCAACUGUGGCGCGCAUUCGCGAGGAUUUCUGCUAGCUGAUUGGUGCACAGCCGUUGCUACUUGGCCUACGAUUGGCCGAUUGCACACCAAGAAUUCCCGCGGCGUUCACUAUCCAUGGGACUCACUACCACACACACGUAUGAACCACACGAGGCCACUCUCGAUCUUACACAAAUGAUAUUCAGACGAGGACACUGCGUACCACACAUCCAUACGUGUGAUGUACACACGUGUAUGUAUACUAGCUACUCGCGAGCUUUUGUGCACACCAACAUCCACGUAUAUUUGCGUGUACGUGUGUUGGAAGAUUCCACACGCCCGCGCUUCGCUACGGUCGUAUGACGGACGAACAGGAACUGGCCACAACCCGCGCGGAAACGCGCUACUUAUGCUGCCGGUGGGAAGAAAACCGACGAAUCAAGACAGCCUUUAUACCCACCGCCUUUAGACCUCGAUGCUACGGGUCCAAAGGGCCAUCGUGGUGGUGUUCUCGAAUGCGAACACGGGGGAUGGAGGUCAGCCAACCCCUCUUGCUGCUAUGCGCAAAACCAUGAUAAAUAUGUAACACAUAUAAUACGCGGAUGCGGAUCUAUCUCUGUACCAAUCGCUAUAUCAACGAUUGUGGCAAAAAUAAUCAGGCUACCAUUUGCUAUUCGCUACUCACGUUGAAAGCGCCACCAAAUCGUUGACCCAUUUUUCUAUCGAUUAUCCAGCUUUCGCAGUAGCCUCCGACCAUCAAGAUUCGGUUCUCCAAAUAUUCGAAACUUCCGCGGUGACCUCGUAACGAAGCUGAAUACAAUCCGUCGUCUUCUCGCACUGUUCAUUUUCUCUUUGUCUUUUCAAGUCCGAUUGUAAAGUGGUCGAUCUCGUAUAAUUCGUACACCAAUUUCGGAGUUUUACGCGACGAUUGAACGCGCACACGGUUAACAUUAACGUUACGUAAUCACACGACGUUCCUGGAAACCGUUCCUAUCGUUUUCAUUCUCAUCGUGAAUAUUCUCUUCAAUAGGAUCGAGGAUCGGGAAAUCGAUGACGUUCAUUUAUCGAUACAACAAUGAAACAAAACAAAAAAGAUAAUGGUAGCGCGUUACACGACACGCGUAAAAACGUGGGAGAAGUGAAUAAAAAAUGGAUAUUCUUAACCGACGUUUCGAGAUGAAAUAAAGAAAAGAUGAAGAAAAAUGGUGGAAUUGAAACGUUCGUUGCGAUCGAAGUAUUAAAACGUGAAAGAACGGUGCUGCGUGUAUAGCGGUUAGUCGAUUAACGAAGCUGGCGUAUUGGGAAGGGAAGGGGGUGGCUUGGUGGAACAUUGGAACUCGACUUGGACGUCCUAUUUCUACGUUCGGAAAGGUUCGUGUGGCGAGCCGAUCGCGCACGAAGCAACGGGGAUAUAAGUAGGUCGUUUCGAGCCGCACGUGUCGUCCUUGACUCACAUAGCGUGGCGCGCAGGCGCUCACCGUUGCCGCAUUGCUGGUCGCUAGGGCUUUUUCUUUGUUCCUCUUCGCGUGUGUGCGCCCGUAAUGUUCCGCGCACACGUUCCCUUAUGAGCACAGCACACGAGUAUGUAUGUGUAUACACGUGUGCACGGUUGUGCGCGCACGCACCUAUCCGGCACUCUGCAAAAUGAGCUAGCUGCCGCCGCGCCGUAAUCUAUCUAUCGCGUCUAAUGUGCUGUACAUGAUCGAGUAUGUCUCCGUCUACGUCUCCGUGUAUUUAUCCGUGCGAAUCGACCGUUUCCUGUUUGCGCCAUUUUCUCGAUUUGUGAAACUUAUUCGUAAGAAGAAAAAACGCUUAACCAUGAGUAUCAAUAAAUGUUACGCAGCUAUAGUAAUUUCUUGUACCGAUAUACCUGCACGAUUUCGAGCAAACAGUUAAUAUAAUUAGACGUUUUCGUUAUGGACGGACGCGAUCCGAGGGGGUCGAGACACGAAGAAGGCACGUUGUGCAACGCUCAAGGAGAGUGAGCAGUGAGCAACACGCGUGUCGUGCGUUCCUGCGUGCUCACGGACGCAUAUGCGCACGCUCGAUGAUAAUCGACAGAAAGAGAAAGGUCAUCGGGGGGGGAACGAAGUUUCGCUUCCUCUUCCUUGUUGCGAUUACACGAGUAGGUAAGCGGGUACCGAAAUUGCGGAUAGUGUGACGCAACGUGCAGCUGUACGUAGGUACGUGCAUAUAUGAAUAUAUGUAGGAACGGACUCGUACACUGACAGACAUGCGCAUACAUGCAUUCGUGCAUACAUGCGUGUAUUUAGAUAAAGUAUUGGAUACGCCUGCGGAAACACGGCAGUGCACGACAUACAGAAUUCGCGCGUUUAUUCGUAACCGUGAGUCGCCAUCCAUUACAGGGCUUGAAACGGUACACUGAAGAAUUUUAAUUCGACAAUUUGUAAUUUUUCUCAUUUCCGUCAGUUGUUUAUGGCACGUUAAUUUGAACUACAUAUGCAGCGACUCUAGCGAGUUCUGUCGGAUCGACAGAAUAGCAGACUUCUUUUGAUAUGCAUCCAAGGACAGUUAUGUUUCACGAAGACCUGUGCGAAGUCGGUAGUUGGCUUUGGCAUCGUGAGUAUUGAUCGCAACGGGAAUUCAAAGGGGAGGCCACCACGUUAGGCUACUCGAACCCCAAUUGGAUCGACCUACCUCGUAGCAGUAGGCAACUGAAGGGGGGCUCUGCCGCGGCCUAUUUCUUAGAGUAUCGAGGUUCCCUAACCAAAACGUUCAUUUUUUAAUUUACUUUAUAUCCUAGACAAAUAUGAGCUCCUGCAUGAAUAAACCAAGGCACUUUUAGACCGGCUUAGUAUUUUUGGCGUAGCCGGUUCGAACGGGAUGCUACGUUUCAGAGAAACGAAAUGGAGGACUUCAGCAGGAGACCGAUGUGCUGUUAGUUGGGAAGACCUUGAGCGUUAAUUACUCUCAGACGAGAACGACGCGAUGUACUAAGUUUUUUCGCAAAAUGGCCGUACUUAUAUAAUCUUUGGCAAUGCUUUUGGCGUUGCGAUUGUAGGAACGAUUGCUGCUGGCAAGAUGUGGGACUAAUUUACACGAAUUUCAUUGUUUCCAUUCUGCUCGAUCAACGUCGUGCAACACGCUGUCGUGCAACGCGAUCGUUGCAUAACGCCAUCUUUUUAAUGACCAUACGACGUCUCCGUAAUGAAGUAGUCACGCCAAGCUGUCUGCACGUGGAACAUACAGGGUGUCCCAUUUAAUUGGAAUAUAUCAUCGGGAAUAUCUUGGAAAUUGUAAUAAUUCGAUGAAGAAUAUCCGAUAAGAAUAUGUGAAAGAAAUAAACGUUGCUAACGACAGCCAAUAAACUGACGGUGUCACGUUGUGGCACAUCGUUUUGAUUUAACGCGCAUACUUUUGUGUCGUCCGAGAAGGUUCGCAUGCUAGAGUUCCACAGAUAAGCACGUUCUUAUCAGCGUAUGUACUUACGUAAGCAACGAAUCGUGUAAGUAAGUCUUUACUCGGCUUCGCACUCUUUUUCCUCUUCCGUCCUCUCACGGUGUAACCCACUCUUUCAUCGUCGUUCUUUUUCACCUUUCUUUUUUCCUGGCUUACACUUUUCACCUUCAUUUUUCCUUUACCUUACUCAUUUCUUUCGCGUGCGUUAGUUUCUUUCAGAAUCGUAUUUCAUCUAAAGAUAAUGCUUUCUCUCCUGUUAACAAUUCUUUUGCUUUUAUCCCAACUUUCAUUUUUGCUAUUUUUAAUCAUUUUUUUCUUAGUUUAUCGCCUUUCUUUACCCUUUCAACUUGAUUAUAAAUUGUCGCCAUGACUUUGCAUUGUGACACGUGCAAAAAGUAGUGCAGCAUCUUGCAGCGCCAUCUAUUUAGAGCUUUGGGCACAAGCAGGGCGGGGCUGUGAAUGGUUCAGGGUUAAGAAUGGAUAUUUUAGCUGUUUCUCAAAAUCUUUAGAGUGACCCUAAUAUUGGGUUAUUAACUGCUUAAAUAUUAGCCAACACUGAUCUCAUUUUACGUUGAAAAGUGCCAUCGCGUUGGCUCGGUACGUAGUGAACUUGGUUCCUACUGUAACGUAUCGUUAACGUUAACACUGCUAAACACAAGUAUUUUAACAUUAAUAUUAAUAUCAUACGAAAACAAGUAUUGAUCGGUGAAGGGUAAAUAUUCUGUAAUAAUUAAACUUCAGGCUGGGUAGCAGAAGUUUGGGCGCAUCGUGGAUGACAGACAGUCACGUGGACAUGGCGCGUGCCGGAAGCUGUCAAAAGAUACGAGAGAAGUCUGAUCUUGUUAAAAUGGUAAACUAUAUUAUCUCUGGUGGAUGAUGUCUUGCAAUUUACGUGUUGUUAUAAAGCACAGCAACGAUAAGGGAAAUGCAAAACGCGCUUAGUUUCGAAGAUACGGGUGAAAGAAAAAAAAAAUAUGGAUACGAUUACAGAAGAAUGCUUCCUUUUAUACAGUCACGGUCAUACUCACUUUUUGAAUCGUGUAAGCGCAACAGUUAUCUCUGACAACGUUUUAUCAUAAACUAUGACACGUGAUUGGAUACUUUUUUGUCGAUCGGCUGACACAUCCCUUAUUAGUAAAUUCAAGCGCGAAGAAAAAUUUGUACGCGAGGGUGUAGAUGGUUGCGUACAUCGUGCCGCUGAGUAACGACACUGUUAUCGAACGUGACAUUUCACGAUUGACCCGUUCUAAUUACAAUAUUCUUACGCGUUAAGUGGUGCGGUGGCAGAAGGCAAAGAUCGGUUAGCGGACAGUUAUGCAUGAACGGUGACCUCUUCGUUAUCGGUAGAUCGAAAACAACGAAUCACAGUCAAAGCAGAGGUUGCAAACCUAGUGGACGGAGCGUUUCCAGGGAUUUAUCGCUGAAACGAUGCUUUCGAGGAAGCCAGAGUAAAUCGACGAAUGCACCUUGGGAUUCUUGUUACUUGGUUCGUGUUCCUUUGUUACACAACCGGCUCUCUCGGCAACUCGGCCAACUAUCGACCCCACCAACUAACUUUGUUCUCACUCUGUCCCCUUCCUUUUUUUUCUUCCCUCUUCUUCCUCUUUCUCUCUCUUAAGCUCCCCUUCAGAGUCUCUUUUAUUUCCAACCCCAUCUUUCUGUUCCUUCCUUUCUCUUUUGACAAACUCCGUCCUCCGCUCUUUUCUGUUGCCUGUCCUUUCUCUCCGAGCCUAUACCCCUGUGUGUCACCUACUCGCUCCGCCAGAGUCGGCCGUUUAUUGAAAAAAAAAUUCUCCUACAGAAUGGAAUCUUCAUAUUUCUCCACUUGCUUAGCCUGUGCAAUUAAAAAGCCGACCGAAAGAAAAAUUCAUUUUCCAUUGAAAUUGUAAGAAAACGAUCGACCUCCGCCUCCAAUUUAUACCUAUUCUAAGUCUAGACACGUAAUUGCGAUAAUUAAGAUAGUCGAAGUAACCUUGGAUGACCUUGACAACUUAUAGUUAGAAGUUAGAAUAGUUAUUAGAAGGUGCCUUAAUGGGGGACUUGGUUUGGGUUUCGGGUUAAAUCCCUAACUCGCAAUCAGGCACGAUGCACGAUUCCGUGUGAAAUACUUAAGGAGGAAGACUUCGAUUAUUAAAUUAUUCGAGUGGUUGUUAUCUUGGUUCGGCGUUUAAGUGUUCGUUGGACAGCGUGACAUGAAAUACGACAUUUUUGUCUCUUGUUGCGCCACUGUGAUGAUAAGUGGAAGAUUCCGAACGUAGGGAUGGGGAUCCAUUUAUCUUUGUACUCCACCGAGCACAACGUAAUUUGUACUGGUGUGCAGUAGGCAUAGAGAUUGCGAGGGCUUCGAAAAAUCGCGAUUCUAACGAUGGAAAUUGUGGAGCAUGUGGAGUAACCUAACUUAGCGCAAUUCCAGGAAAUCAAGACCUCCCUUCACAGCUACUUCCUGAAGUUCCAUCUAUUUCGCUAGACGGACUGUUUCGGCUCCCUUUUCGCGGAUCCCCUCUGCAUCUUCCGCAUCCCUAACUUAACUACCCCUCCCUUUCUAGCGGAGAAGCUUCUUGCUACCCAUUCUUCUCGACGAAAUUUUCUUCGUCUUCGUUCAACUAGUCUCUCCCUCUACCCUUGUUCUUUUCUACCCCUCGUUGAAUCUACGUCCCCCUUUCUUUGCUUUUUUUUUUUUUUUUCUUCCGUGAAUGUCUGACGGACCCAAGGGACACGUAGUGGGGGGCCACGUGCUCCCAGUACCUAGUCACGCGAGGGUAGGAUACGUGGUAUAUAUGUAUGGAUGUACCAAUGUAUGUACAGCAGAUUCGUUCGAAUGCAUAGGCGUGGAAACGUGUUUUCUAUUGAAAGUGCGCUCGCGAGAACAGUGUCCAGUUUACGCGGAGAUCUUUCGCGGAAGUUAAGGGACUUUUCUAUCAUGGCGGAAGGAAUAAAGAGGUAUGACUUUCGGGAAGGUCCAAUCUUUUGAUAUGGUAAGCAAUUUUUUUCAAACUCUCAGAACAGUUUCAUUGAAACUUUAGCCAGCCCUGGACAAUAUGUUCUCGAAAAAUGUGUCACCUUUUAUCUUAUCAUCCGGAACACGUGUAUAAGUAUGAAAGUAACUUCUAUGCUUCUAUUGGAGCAGAACGAUAGAUUUACACGUGCGUCAGUUACAGAGCGAAUGCUGUUUUCUGAAUUCAUUCCUUGUUCUACUUCGAGACAGUGUAUGAAUUUUUUUUUUAUUAGGAAAAAAUAAUCGUCAUUGCUACGAGUAUACUGGCAAGUGUAUGCGAACGAAUGCUGUUGAUAGCCGCGGUGGGUGUUACAGAAAACAGAAGUAACAAGGUUGAUAGGAGUUGCAGGCGUUCAAUAGUUAAUCGAGAGGUUGGUUGUGGAGUAAUAGUAGCUGGUUGGCCAGCUGCACUUGACUCUCCUAUGCAAGAUAAAUAGGUGCGGCUGUUUCCUAUUAAUAGCGGUUGCUUUACGCGGGGAUUCCACUGUUCUAGCUCGUUGUCUGUUAACUUGCCAGCCUGUUCACGUUCCGCUUAGAAAAUUUGAUGUGUUGUAAAAUACCUUCAAUUAUGUAACGAUACCUGUCCAAACCAACCGAACCACGAGAACUUGAAUUUACCUAUUGUCCAGCCAUUGGACAAUGGAUUACAAUAUUGUGAAAAACUAAUGGGUUUAUGGUAGCUGUUUCGAGACUAUAAUUUACGACGAUGGAGGUGAACUGGAGGACCUACGAAAGCUUGCUAGUUGAUUGCUAUGGAGGUCACCGAUGACCGAAGAAGAAUUCAUUUUCCAUAUCUCUGGUAAUCCCUGUUGUAAAGUGUUCUACUAGAUAUGGAUGUUUCUACUGUGAUGGUCAAUUAGAAAAAAAUAGGUUCUGAAGCAUAUUAUCAAAUGAAGGUACCAUGAUAAAUCUUUAAUCGACGGGUUUAUUUGGUAGAUGUGUUCUACUAGAUUUAACUAGAGAGACACGAUGAAUAGUAGUAGUAGUAGUGGUAGUAGUAAUAGUAGUAGUAGUAGUAGUAGGAGUAGAAAGGUGGGGAUCAAACAAAAUCCGGUAUAGGCGGGCAACGACCUUUAGGCACGUGGCACGGGACACGUGCUGCAUUCGACAAACUGUCGAACGGCCUUUUGCCUCUUCUUUUUAUCUCCUUUCUUUCGCUUCUGUUUUCACCUCGUUUCGCUUCAAAUUUUCGGCCCGUGCUAUCUCGGUCUCACCGCGAUUUCCUCCUAUCGACUGGGGUACCGUUAACACUUUGGCUACCAACAGAGAAAAUGACUACGCGUGGCACAGUACAUUUCAUUAGGAAUUAUUAGGAAUCUAGUGAUACGAUGAUAUGAUACGAAACAAAACCUCUUUGGGCAUUCGUGGCCACGUGAGUGUGAAAUAAGAGAUGUUCACUCCCAGUUGAAUCUUGUAAAUGCAAUUAGAGCCUUAAUUAUCUCAGUUGAUUAACGCGUUCACUACCAUGGGAGGUGACCAGUAGCACUGGCCAGCUACUUAUAAAAAGCAAUAAAAUCACUGCAUAUAUUUUCGUUUGAUAACUAAACAUACGUAGCAAAUAUCGAACGAUUAAGCUAGUUUUCACGUUCCACACUGUUAUCUUCUAUUUGUUCGUUGAUUAUAUGGGCGUCGCGUGGAAGAUAAUAGUUCACUUUCUGAUGUCGUGAUACAAUAAAGGGAACAAAUAAUCAUAAAUAUUAUACAAUUUUUGCGCGAUAAAGAAACGGAUCCGACAUCAAUCAGGAAAAUUUUAAGAAGUUUGUCUUCUCUAUUGAAAUAGCAAAAUAUCCUAGAUAUGUACAUCCCCUUACCUUGAUUUCAUCCCCUUGACCUUUCGAAGAUGCGUUCAUUCUAGGGAUUUCUAUGGUACCCAUUGGUAUGUCUUUCAAUUUUAAGCGACACCAAUAUUCAGUACUACAUGCAUUUGCAAUGUCUAUAAAUAAUACUCGAGGACAGUAGUCACUCAUGACAGGAGACACUUAGAAAGUCCAUGCUUUUUAUCCAUGGUUAACUAUAUGUUGCUUGCUUCAGACUAUGAUUCGAACGGGUUAAAGUGUCUAGUACUCCGAAAGGAUUAAAACAUACUUAUCAACUUGUGUAGCAGUGCACCCUCUUCUCUGUCCCUUUCUUAUCGUACCGCUCGGUCACGCUAAUUUUCAUUCCAAUUAUUUUCAGCUAGCUAACUCGAUGGAUCAGCAUUGGACGCGAAACAAUAGGCGCGGACGGGUGACAUAAGAUGAGCAGCUCGACAAAAUAGUUGGUCUCCGUCGGUGGCCUCGCUCUAGAAUCGCUCUAGAUCGCCAUCUAGGGUGAGGAGGGCGCGAGGAGAAGGUGAAAGAGGAGGACAGAGCAGGGCAGGGCAAAGAGGGGCUGAGGUCAGCAGUACAACGCUGCUAGCUGCUGUACCAGCUCAAUACCAGCUCUGACCCAUUUGGCAAUGUUCCCGAGUUCGGGCCACGGGAUUUCCCCGUAUGAGAUCACCGUUUUUAUUUUUCCAACUUUUUUUUUUUUCUUUUCCCCUCUAUCUUACUGCCGCAUCCAUAUUUCCCAUAAUUCAUGCACCAUGGGAGAGGUUCGUGGGAAAAUAAUCGGCGCCACUGCCGUUCUACCAUUCAACUAGGCAUCUUUCGAAAUACGAGGAGAUUUUUCUUUCCUGAACGACACUUGAAAACUGACCUAGAUUGUAUUGGCACGAUUAAAACGAAGAAACGAGCGUGAAUAAACGAGGGUGUACAAGAUGGACAAUUAAGCUUACACUCUGCAAUAAUUGUUUGAUUUAACCGAGAUAUACUGCUAAGACUCUUACAGUAUGUGUGGAUAUCGUUGAUGUAUAUUUGCUUUUAAUCCUUUAACACAACCAUCUAUUACUGCUUUUCUGUCGAAAAGUUUUCAUCCCCUUUUGCAAGAAGCAAAACUAACUCUAAUAGAUGUUAAGCCGAAUGAGCCAGCAUCCGCCGUACAAGGGGUAAUCGAAAUGUGGGUCAAUCGUUCGCAUGGAAAAUUUAACGAAAAAGACAGAUAACGUUUGUUCGGUGAUUUUCUUUGCCGCUCCUUUCGUGACCUCAGACCGAAACUAGACCACGCGAAGCUUUUGGUAAAUGUGUCAAACACCCGGUGUGGGAUCAAUACUUGCGCCCUGGUUUCUCCUCUCCUUCCUUCGCCCCACUCUUUUCACCCUUACCCUCGAUAUACCUACGCUCAUACGCCCCUUCGAUCUCUCUUCGCUCUUCACCACCUUUUGCAACCCUCUACCUUCUCUUGUCAAGCUUGUUACAUACCGUUUCGUCUCACUUCUCUGCCGGAUCAUAGUUCCCGAGACGUCUCUUUAACUGCUGACACUGUCGUCAAGGCGAAAUUAGUCGGUAGGGUUAAUCGAAGGAAUCGAUAUCGAUAUUUGAUCAGUCAGCUUCAUUAGACCAGUUUAUCGUAGAAUGUAUUUCUUCUUCAUAAAAUAACCCUAAAUUACAUUUGGUUGGCCAAUUUUCUUUCCAUCCAUCAAAAAUCGUUCUUCCGGCAAUGUUUUCAUCCAUCGUCAGGGCUUCUGCCUAGUUUUGUUUGGGAAAAUAACAAUUUAUUGUUAUUCGUACCCUCAGGUUCCAGCUCUUCCCGCUGUUUUCAAUCGAGUAUCCCCCGAUACUCGAUCCUCUCCACCCCUGGUGCCACCUGCCUCCUGGAAGGGGACAAAUAGCGCAGGGUGGCGGUUCAAUAGAAAGACGAAGAGGCAAAGGGAGCAACAUUUCAAUGGGGUAAAAGGGAAUCGAGCUCUGGAUUCACCCCAACCGAGCGCGCAUGCUUCUGAGCGAAAUUCUGUUCGCACACUGCCUCUGCAGCGACCCUCUAUCACGCCAUUGUGCCCUAUUCUUUUUAUAGACCCUUUCAAAAUUGCGUUCCUACGCAUGAUUUUGUAUAGUACAGUUUCUAUAAGCCUACAGUCUACUAUGUCUCUACUAUAGAACACUGUUUCUUCUGAAACAUUUUAUAGAGUUCCGAAUAGAGGAAGGAGCCUCCCACUAUUUGCUUUUGUUUAGGAAGAGUCUAAGCUAGAACCUCUCGUCUCUGUCAAUGUAAGUGAUAAAGAUUAAUUUCUACGUGCAUUUCUUUUGAACCGACCUGUAGAUAGGGAUCGUUACCCAAGGUACGCUCGUGGCUGCGGCUAAAAAUUUUAAUGAACCGUGCAAUAAAACGUGAAGUACAGGUAGGGGAUAUUCAGCUUUAAUUAAAUGUCUGAUGCCUCUGGGGAAAAAACCAAAACGUUUUGCAUUUUUAACUAUAACUCUGCAAAGCAUCACGAAUUGAUUAAAAAAAAUUACAGUUAAAAAACACGAGAAUUUUAGCUAUGUUGCUGGUUCGAUUGGAGUUUUGUUGAAUUAUGUAAUCUUGAUGAACUAGUAUGUUUGGAAUUUUUCUAUUUUUGAAGAAAAUAUAUUCUCGAGACCCCAUUCCAAAAUGGAUUUUCUUGUUCGGCAUUGCUUCGAUCUUGACAUUUCGUUCGUUUCGCAAUCGAUAUACAUAACGUUAUUUCCUCGUGUCGCUUUUCAGGUGAUCGUAACCUGACAUUUCAGACAUCGUCGCGUGGCUUUGAGUUCCGGUUCGAUGAAAAAAGCAACGAACUGCAAAGUCAACAAGUUUUUCUGCAUGGAAUCGAUAACGAAAGCCGAUAAUUGGGCAUCGAAAUGCAGACGUCAACCUGAUGUGACAUCUACAUUUCGUAAGUGGUUCAACACACUAGCGUUGGUAAGAAAAGUCCGAUUACCACACUGGUGUAAACGACUGGACAAGUAAUGGAAAGAAUACUAAAGAUAGUUGGUUGGCAGAGUAGAAUGUGUUAGCACAACCUAACUCUAAAGGCCUAGCGCUAAUAUCCUUUACCAUUUACUCUGUCAUAAAAUAGUUAUUGCGGCUAUUCUGGUGAGUUUCUUUUUUCUUUAGAAGAAAAGU
Non-coding RNA from Osmia lignaria (orchard mason bee), 11798 nucleotides. The record is from RefSeq and is a predicted model, not a curated record. Lineage: Eukaryota; Metazoa; Arthropoda; Insecta; Hymenoptera; Megachilidae.